CGCACCUUGCGCUCCUUGGUAUUCCGAGGAGCAUGCCUGUUUGAGUGUCAUGUUAACUCUCACUCUUCCCCCCUUUUUUCUGAAAGGGUGUGGGAUAGAUGUGGAUUUGGAAGCUUGCUGGAUCCAUUCGUGAUUCGGCUCUUCUUGAAUACAUUAGCUGGGCUUUGGUUGUCGCUCGUCCGCGGUGUGAUAGGUUUUUAUUCACUUCGGAAGGGGCGGUUUGCCGUGUAUUGGCCUGCUUCUAAUUGUCUUCGGACUUGCCUUGGGGCCUCUUAGUAGGCUCCUUGACUUUGACCUCAAAUCAGGUAGGACUACCCGCUGAACUUAA
This 328-nucleotide unclassified non-coding RNA is filed under the name Basidioradulum radula. RNAcentral's name for it is "partial contains 5.8S ribosomal RNA, internal transcribed spacer 2, and large subunit ribosomal RNA". Lineage: Eukaryota; Fungi; Basidiomycota; Agaricomycetes; Hymenochaetales; Hymenochaetaceae. The record is from RNAcentral.